This 1450-nucleotide ribosomal RNA is filed under the name metagenome. RNAcentral describes it as "bacterial SSU rRNA". It matches the Rfam family "Bacterial small subunit ribosomal RNA". The record is from RNAcentral.
UAACACAUGCAAGUCGAACGAGAAAGCCCCUUCGGGGGUUAGUAAAGUGGCAAACGGGUGAGUAACACGUGAGUAAUCUGCCCCGAAGUAGGGGAUAACUUUCCGAAAGGAUUGCUAAUACCCUAUAAGAUCAACCUUCGCAUGUUGGUUGAUGAAAGGUUUCGAUCGCUUUGGGAUGAGCUCGCGCCCCAUUAGCUUGUUGGUAGGGUAAUGGCCUACCAAGGCUACGAUGGGUAGCCGGCUUGAGAGGGUGUCCGGCCACACUGGGACUGAGAUACGGCCCAGACUCCUACGGGAGGCAGCAGUGAGGAAUCUUGCGCAAUGGGGGAAACCCUGACGCAGCAACGCCGCGUGGACGAUGAAAGCCCUUGGGUUGUAAAGUCCUGUCACAGAGGAAGAAAGUGCUUGCAAAAGCACUUGACGUUACUCUGAGAGGAAGCCUCGGCUAACUCCGUGCCAGCAGCCGCGGUAAUACGGAGGAGGCAAGCGUUGUUCGGAACUACUGGGCGUAAAGAGCGCGUAGGCGGCUUUGAAAGUCAGACGUGAAAUACCUUGGCUCAACCAAGGAAUUGCGUUUGAAACUUCUUAGCUUGAGUGCAGGAGAGGAAAGCGGAAUUCCCAGUGUAGCGGUGAAAUGCGUAGAUAUUGGGAGGAACACCGGUGGCGAAGGCGGCUUUCUGGACUGUUACUGACGCUAAGGCGCGAAAGCUAGGGGAGCAAACGGGAUUAGAUACCCCGGUAGUCCUAGCUGUAAACGAUGGGCACUAGGUGUAGGAGGUAUCGACCCCUUCUGUGCCGAAGCUAACGCAUUAAGUGCCCCGCCUGGGGAGUACGGUCGCAAGAUUGAAACUCAAAGGAAUUGACGGGGGCCCGCACAAGCGGUGGAGCAUGUGGUUUAAUUCGACGCAACGCGAAGAACCUUACCGGGGUUUGACAUUAACUCGACGGUACAGGAAACUGUGCUUUCCCUUCGGGGACGGGUUAACAGGUGCUGCAUGGCUGUCGUCAGCUCGUGUCGUGAGAUGUUGGGUUAAGUCCCGCAACGAGCGCAACCCUUGUUCUUAGUUACCAACAGCUCGGCUGGGUACUCUAAGAAGACUGUCGGUGAUAAGCCGAAGGAAGGUGGGGAUGACGUCAAGUCCUCAUGGCCUUUAUAUCCCGGGCUACACACGUGCUACAAUGGCCGGUACAAAGGGUUGCGAAUCUGUGAAGUGGAGCCAAUCCCAAAAAGCCGGUCUCAGUUCGGAUUGGAGUCUGCAACUCGACUCCAUGAAGUUGGAAUCGCUAGUAAUCGUAGAUCAGCACGCUACGGUGAAUACGUUCCCGGGCCUUGUACACACCGCCCGUCACACCACGAAAGUUGGUUGUACCAGAAGUCGCCAAGCUAACCCUCACGGGAAGCAAGCGCCCAAGGUAUGAUCAGUGAUUGGGGUGAAGUCGGAACAAGGUA